AUGGCGGACCUCUUCUUCGGGGGAAGCCCCUUCCGGCGGCUCCUCUACGCCCGCCCCUUAGCCUCCGCCACGGCCGCCAUGGACUGGGUGGAGACCCCGACCUCCCACGUCCUCAGGAUCAACGUCCCGGGGCUGGGCAAAGACGACGUCAAGGUCCAGGUGGAGGACGGCAACGUGCUCAGCGUCAGGGGCGCGGCCAAGGAGAAGGGAAACGAGGGAAACGAGGAGGCGGCGGUGUGGCACGUGGCGGAGCGCGGGAAGCCGGAGUUCGCGCGGGAGGUGGCGCUGCCGGAGCACGUCAGGGUGGAGCAGAUCAGGGCCAGCGUCGACAACGGCGAGCUCACCGUCGUCGUGCCCAAGGAGCCCGCCCCGGCCCGGCCCCGGACCAGGCCCAUCGCGGUCUCCAGCAAGCUGUGA
This 417-nucleotide ribosomal RNA is filed under the name Triticum aestivum (bread wheat). RNAcentral's name for it is "partial small subunit ribosomal RNA". The record is from RNAcentral. Lineage: Eukaryota; Viridiplantae; Streptophyta; Magnoliopsida; Poales; Poaceae.